This 1379-nucleotide ribosomal RNA is filed under the name uncultured bacterium. RNAcentral's name for it is "bacterial SSU rRNA". It matches the Rfam family "Bacterial small subunit ribosomal RNA". The record is from RNAcentral.
AGAGUUUGAUCCUGGCUCAGGACGAACGCUGGCGGCGCGCCUAACACAUGCAAGUCGAACGAGCAAAGAGGAGCUUGCUUCUCUGAGCGAGUGGCGAACGGGUGAGUAACGCGUGAGGAACCUGCCUCAAAGAGGGGGACAACAGUUGGAAACGACUGCUAAUACCGCAUAAGCCCACGGGUCGGCAUCGACCAGAGGGAAAAGGAGCAAUCCGCUUUGAGAUGGCCUCGCGUCCGAUUAGCUAGUUGGUGAGGUAAUGGCCCACCAAGGCGACGAUCGGUAGCCGGACUGAGAGGUUGAACGGCCACAUUGGGACUGAGACACGGCCCAGACUCCUACGGGAGGCAGCAGUGGGGAAUAUUGCACAAUGGGGGAAACCCUGAUGCAGCGACGCCGCGUGGAGGAAGAAGGUCUUCGGAUUGUAAACUCCUGUUGUUGAGGAAGAUAAUGACGGUACUCAACAAGGAAGUGACGGCUAACUACGUGCCAGCAGCCGCGGUAAAACGUAGGUCACAAGCGUUGUCCGGAAUUACUGGGUGUAAAGGGAGCGCAGGCGGGAAGACAAGUUGGAAGUGAAAUCCAUGGGCUCAACCCAUGAACUGCUUUCAAAACUGUUUUUCUUGAGUAGUGCAGAGGUAGGCGGAAUUCCCGGUGUAGCGGUGGAAUGCGUAGAUAUCGGGAGGAACACCAGUGGCGAAGGCGGCCUACUGGGCACCAACUGACGCUGAGGCUCGAAAGUGUGGGUAGCAAACAGGAUUAGAUACCCUGGUAGUCCACACCGUAAACGAUGAUUACUAGGUGUUGGAGGAUUGACCCCUUCAGUGCCGCAGUUAACACAAUAAGUAAUCCACCUGGGGGAGUACGACCCGCAAGGUUGAAACUCCAAAGGAAUUGACGGGGGGCCCGCCCAACCAGUGGAGGAAUGUGGGUUUAAUUCUACCGCACCGCGAAGAACCUUACCCAAGCUUUGAAUCCUUGCGACGGAAUAAAAAAAAUGUUUUUUCUUUCGGGACGCAAAACAAGGGGGGGGCAGGGGUGGCGUCACCUCGUGUCGUGAGAUGUUGGGUUAAGUCCCGCAACGAGCGCAACCCUUAUGGUCAGUUACUACGCAAGAGGACUCUGGCCAGACUGCCGUUGACAAAACGGAGGAAGGUGGGGAUGACGUCAAAUCAUCAUGCCCUUUAUGACUUGGGCUACACACGUACUACAAUGGCGUUAAACAAAGAGAAGCAAGACCGCGAGGUGGAGCAAAACUCAGAAACAACGUCCCAGUUCGGACUGCAGGCUGCAACUCGCCUGCACGAAGUCGGAAUUGCUAGUAAUCGUGGAUCAGCAUGCCACGGUGAAUACGUUCCCGGGCCUUGUACACACCGCCCGUC